Macrobrachium nipponense is the source of this 5006-nucleotide RNA transcript. It is a transcript of the gene named ankyrin repeat and SOCS box protein 13-like, with no coding region annotated. Lineage: Eukaryota; Metazoa; Arthropoda; Malacostraca; Decapoda; Palaemonidae. The transcript is spliced from 8 exons. The record is from RefSeq and is a predicted model, not a curated record.
GAUCAGCUGGUUGGUCUAUCUCGUCGCCGAGUCCGAAACAUAGCAAGGGCAAGGUCCGUGUCCCAUCGUGCUGUGCAAAGUUAUUUGGCUACUGCGUCAUGAAAUUAGGGUCAAAAACAUUUACCCGAUGAAGAAGCCAACAGUGAUGUCACGGCACAAGAUCCGUGCUCGUUUGCGGCCAUACACAUUAAGUGACAAUCAGUUCGGAGUUUAAGUACAGAAUCCUACUCUUUUCACUUAACCUACAGCAGGCUAACAUACCUACAUCAGUUUCUUUUAAGUGAUAAAGUGUACAAUAGGCCUGGCCUUAUACAAGAUGAUGGAAGCAGUUUUUGAAAGUGACUAUUCAAGAACUCAGUUGUUUCCACUACACAAUGCUGUGGCCAUGAGAAAUUUCAGCGAAGUUCAGAAUUUAGUUGAGAAUGGUUACAAUAUCAAUGAACAGCAUUAUGAUCGUGUAACACCACUGCACAUGGCAUGUCUCACUGGUGAUAUAGGAAUCACAGAGUACCUUCUUGAAAAAGGAGCAUGGAUUAAUGCCCAGAGUAUAGAUAACAGCACUCCUUUAUGUGAUGCUUGUGCUGGUGGAAGUGUAGAGUGUGUUAAACUUCUACUUAAUAUGGGAGCAGCUGUUAACCCACCUCUACUACUAUCCACCCCAUUACAUGAAGCUUCUCUUCGAGGGAAUACAGAAAUAGUUGCCCUCCUCAUCGCAGCUGGUGCUCACUUAGAUCCAAAUGACACUCAUUAUGGCACACCACUCCAUGCUGCCUGUUCCAUGGGAACUCCAUCUUUAUCCUGCAUCAGAUGCUUAUUAAAGUCUGGUGUGAAAGUUAAUGCCAUAAAGAAUCAUAAAACACCUCUACACUACAUUGCUAUGAACAGCAGAAAUGCAGAUGCUGCAAGGUUAUUACUACAGUAUGGUGCAGAUCCAUAUCUGAAAACUAAUUCUGGACUCACUGCACGUCAGAUAGCUGGACAAGGUAGUGAUAUGGCAAAUUUGCUGGCUGCAUUUGAACGUACGCCUAGAUCACUGGCUCAUUUCUGCCGUCUGACAGUUCGUCGUCAACUAGGUCCACACCGUCUGAAGUUACUCGAGAGACUAGAAAUCCCAGCAAUCCUUAUACAUUAUUUACAGUGAUGUACUGCAUUACCUGGAAACCAGUGGCAUGGAAGAGCAAGUGGACAAAUCAAGAGUAAAUUGUGAUCCAAAACUUCGGGGAACUUUACAUGAAGCCUCAUUGGCUUCACUGUCCAUAUGGUCAUGAAUUGGUUAGUGGGAGGCAAGGAUGAAAAAGAAGCUUGGGCUGUCUGAUAGGUGCAUAAGGAAAUUGAUGAUACAGAGUGACAUCUUUUAUCAGAGUGAGAUCAUCUGGAGACAAAGGAAUAGUUGCAAAAUCUUUCUCUACUUUUGUGAGUGGAAAAACACUGUCUUCACUUGUUUUUCGGAUGGCCAGAGCAUUUACCUGUGGAUGUGUCAUUAUUAUGUAUAUCAGACUUACCCACAUAGUAUAUGAGAGAUUUACUACAGGAAAACUGAUCUGUUGAUUGGAUUUAAAGUCAGGUUGGUCACAUCCAUCAAAAGGUUACCAAGUCUUUUUAAUGGAAGUCAGGAAGUGUAGGUAUGGGAAAAGGAUUAUAAGAUUUACAGUUAUUUGUUUAAACUCAUCCUAUGAACAGAGGCUUACCAAACACAUGUCAAAAUUUAUCUGCACCAUUUCUCACUUAAGAAAUAAAUGACUAUGGAGAACUUUGAAAGAAAUCUCAACUGAGUUUUUACCAACAGGUGAACAUGAGUAUUAUCUGUAGUAGAAAAAAUAUGAAGAGUGUAAAGAUGAGUAAGACAGAAAUAAGCUAUAAAUUUUUCAAUUCUGAUGAUAAUAAGUGUGUCAGUAGCUUGUUCAGUGUUGAAGAUGGUUCCUUCUCUUCUAGUACAAAGUAGGGCGCAAACAAGUAGUUAUAAAAAUUUUGUCAUCGGUGAGAUGUAGUUAGAAGUUGGGAAACAGCUUUAGGUAAGGUCAAGUGUAAAGCUGAAUCAGAAAUGGAAGAAGCAACUGCAGAACUAUAGAGAUACAAAGGCAGAAGAAAAACUGCCAGAAAAGGCAAGAUCAGCAUUAGAUCGAGACCUUUCAACACUCAUGGUCAUGGAGAGAGAAUUACAUUAUUAUUCCCAAAAUCAUGUCUACAAAGGCAAAAAGGGUUUCAAUGAAAUGAGGUUUGAAGGGAGAAUAGAAUAAACUUAAGGAGUCAUAUGAGGCUGGCUGCUUCAUUUCAUAUUAAAGAAUGGUAUUGCUAUACCACAGUUAAGAUGUCUUUAUGAACAGAAUUCACAAAGAAAUAUUAAGAAGAAUCACAUCUCUAUUACAUGCAAAGAAGUCAUACUUACAAUAUUUAUUGUCUCACACCUUGGAGCCACACUAUUAAAUAUGAAAAGUAUUAUCAUUAUUCGGUAGUGCUAUCAGACCAGUGAGUUAAAAUUUAUAACUCGUAGGGCUGGGCCAAAGGGUUUUACUUGGUUUUACUUUCUUUAAAAAUUUAAGAACAGGAUAACUGAAAAUUAUAUAGAAUCCGCCAAUCUUCUAUUUAGAUAAACAAAAUUAUGAAGAAUCUGAUACUGUUCUCUCAAAUGACAUUUGUUUCCCUAACCUGCCAUUUGUUAUUGGCUGAAAUUUGAAUAUUCAUGUAAACUGAGAAUACAGUAUACCUGUAUUCUCUGUUCAUGUGCGCUAUUCUUCAAAUAUCCAAGGGUCAACAAGUCUGACCAAUGGAUAGGAAAGACAAAAUUAUUUAAAUAUUUUUUUUCUGUGAAGAAUGCCAAAAUCUAACAUGGGGUAUGAUUUAUCUUAAAUUCAUCAAAUUCAUUGUUCCAUACAUAAAGCUUUCCCUUUACUGAAGAUGAAGGUUUUGGAGAUGUUAAUAAUAAUAAUUGAUAGGAAUGACAGCAGUUGAUCCGGUCAAAGUGUAGGUUUUGAAGAUUUGGCUACUUAACUGGCAUCUUCAUAUCUCUUAAUGCCACAUAAGCAGGAAUCAAAUAUGUUUCAACACUUACACCGGCUUCAUAUAUUUUAUGGAAUGAUAACUUGAUUCCUGAUACUUGCAGGUUGUACAAGAUAAUUUUAGUAAAAGUAAUGUGCAUUACUUCUUACAGGUUUGUUUUCCUUGAGUUAGGAAUUUACAAUAUUUCUUAUGGUAACUAUCAAAGAGAAAUCACUAAACAUUUAAAAGCCAUUAUACCACAAUUAAACAUAUAUGAUGAGAGUGGUUUAAAGAGCGCAAUGAUUGACAUUUCUUGACUUAUUGUGCUGGCCUGAACUAUGGAAAUUGGAGAAGGUUAAAAGAAGUUGAACACUUUGGCAGGAAGAAACUAAAGGGAUUGGAUGAAAUGUAAAUAGCAAUUCAGCUGAAGGGUAAAAAGAUCUACAAAGAACCUCUGUUAUCUACACUGUGCUGUGUAAAGCAUACUUUGGACAGUACAUUUUACAAGAGGUGUCCAGAGACAUGAAAAUAAUAGACACCUAAGAAGAUUUCAUCCCCUAAGCCUUGUCAGUACCUGCGUUGGCUAGCAUAAGUCUCCUUAAUAUCUUACCUUUGACCCAGAUGCAUGUUUGUUACACAUUUCUACUGGAUUUAAAGCAAAACUCAUGAGGAUGUAAGUCUGUAAGAGGUAUGAACUUGUUAAAAGUAUGUAGUCAUAUAUAUAUGGGAGUAUUUUCCUUAGUUAAAAUACAUUAUUGUAACAUCAAUCACUACAGUAGUAAGCAAGCAAAUAAGAUAUAUGCCAUUAUACAUAUACAUAUGAUUCAUAUGAAUAUGAACACAAAGUAAACUUGAAAAGCAAUAAUCGUGUAAAUAUAGACACUAAGAACCCUAAUGUCAGGUGAAGGAAAACUGGGGUGUAACAACUAAACCAUACCGAAACUUGUCAAAAAAAAGGAGAGGAAGAAAUCAUUAGUAGAAGCCAAACAGAAUAGAUGAAAUGGAACAGUGGAACAAAAUCAAGUUAAAGCUGACUAUGGCGGUACAUGUCUAUCCACACACACUCAAGAGGUGUUCCUUGACAUUCUAGAUAUUUUUUCUUCGCAAAUGUAAAUUCUAAGCAGUCGUUCUGUAAACAUUGGUAUACGGGCUCAUGUUGUAACAUCUAAUAUCUUAAAAAUCUUUGUUCAUUUAUCCUCUGUGGACAUGAAUGUAUGAUACUUGCCUUUUACAGUACAGAUAAGUCCUGUUUAGUUAUGUUAAACUAUUGGAUUUUUUAGUUGCUAUUUGUAGCUAAAAGGACAUCUCAUGUGUGACAUUCAAGAUGAUGACCUGAUAACCAUUUUCAAACACUAGGUUAUACCAUAGCCUCUGAGCCAUACUCUUGGUAUAGUGUUGAAUUGCACUUGAGAUUUCAGAAAGAAUUUAAAGAAUCUUCCACCACCAAACUUCAGGUUUUACGAGUAUGCCAUGGUGGAUUUAUAGAGUGGGGACUAAACCAGCUGUAUGCUAGCUUGGGUCCUUGUUCUUUCAAAAAUUAUUAAUCAUUUUGAAUAAAAUCUAUUUAAUCAUGCAAGAAAUACUAUUACUUAUAUACAUAGAGUCCUGUACAACCAUACAUAGUAGGCAUGGAGAUACUCUCAGAAAUAAAAUAGGUGCAUGAUUUCUAUACAUAUUAGAAAUUCUUGACACAAAAUUUUAACCAACUCGAAUCCAUUGCAUAUGCUUAAUAACAAGCCCAUAGGCAUUUCUCUAUCGUUUUAAUUAACAUCAGAUAUAUGACUUAAAAACCAAAAGUUACACUUAUAUUACUGCUUUAUAUCUUAAUCACUUGUUUGCACAAUUACGGUUGUUGCCCUUGGUGUAUAUAUAUCAUAUAUUGUACAAUGCAUUAUCAUUAUCAUAAAGAUCAAAACCGAGUAGCAUUUAAGGAAUCUCAUUGGGCUUGCCUAAAUGAUUGUCUCUUAGACAAAAGAUGAAAACUGGAUCAAUAUAAAGUUAAAGAAGUUGGACAAUUAGGUGGAAAGAGA